UAAUAAAAAAUUCAAAAUGGGUUUGGUGCUGGCUCAGCAGUAAUGCGUCUUUUUAGAAUUUAUACAUGCGAGUGAAAUAGAGUAACGUACGGGUGCGUAAUGCGCGAGUCUUU
This 113-nucleotide ribosomal RNA is filed under the name Chlamydomonas priscui. Its description in RNAcentral is "Chlamydomonas sp. UWO 241 small subunit ribosomal RNA". Lineage: Eukaryota; Viridiplantae; Chlorophyta; Chlorophyceae; Chlamydomonadales; Chlamydomonadaceae. The record is from RNAcentral.